AGUGAACGCUGGCGGUAGGCUUAACACAUGCAAGUCGAGCGGCAGCACAGUAAAAGCUUGCUCUUACGGGUGGCGAGUGGCGGACGGGUGAGGAAUACGUAGGAAUCUACUUUUUGGUGGGGGAUAAAGCAGGGAAAAUUACGCUAAUACCGCAAACGCACUACGGGUGAAAGCAGGAGAACUUCGGACCUUUCGCGCUUGAAGGAGCCGAUGUCGGAUUCGUUAGUUGGUGGGGUAAAGGCCCACCAAGGCAAGGAUCCGUAGCUGGUGGGAGAGGAUGGUCAGCCACCCUAGAACUGAAACACGGUCCAGACUCCUCUGGGAGGCAGGAGUGGGGAAUAUUGGACAGUGGGCGCAAGCAUGAUCCAACCAUGCCGCGUGGGUUGAGAGAGCCUUCGGGUCGUAAAGCCCUUUUGUUUGGAAAGAAAAGCAGCAGGUUAAUACCCCGCUGUUCUGACGGUACCCAAAGAAUAAGCACCGGCUAACUUCGUG
Molecule: ribosomal RNA, 492 nt
Filed under: uncultured bacterium
Lineage: Bacteria
Description: partial 16S ribosomal RNA
Rfam family: Bacterial small subunit ribosomal RNA
Source: RNAcentral